UGAGCAAUCUGCCCUUCUCAUCGGAAUAAGCGUUGGAAACGACGUCUAAUGCCGAAUACGACCUCCUUUCGCAUGAUCGGAGGUGGAAAGCUCCGGCGGAGAAGGAUGAGCUCGCGGCCUAUCAGCUAGUUGGUGUGGGUAAUGGCUCACCAAGGCGACGACGGGUAGCCGGCCUGGAGAGGGUGACCGGCCACACUGGGACUGAGACACGGCCCAGACUCCUAGGAGG
Molecule: ribosomal RNA, 229 nt
Filed under: uncultured bacterium
Lineage: Bacteria
Description: partial 16S ribosomal RNA
Rfam family: Bacterial small subunit ribosomal RNA
Source: RNAcentral